This 510-nucleotide ribosomal RNA is filed under the name uncultured bacterium. Its description in RNAcentral is "partial 16S ribosomal RNA". It matches the Rfam family "Bacterial small subunit ribosomal RNA", at positions 28 to 507 of the family's 1533-position model. The record is from RNAcentral.
GACGAACGCUGGCGGCGUGCUUAACACAUGCAAGUCGAACGAAGAGCGAUGGAAGCUUGCUUCUAUCAAUCUUAGUGGCGAACGGGUGAGUAACGCGUAAUCAACCUGCCCUUCAGAGGGGGACAACAGUUGGAAACGACUGCUAAUACCGCAUACGAUCUAAUCUCGGCAUCGAGGAUAGAUGAAGGGUGGCCUCUACAUGUAAGCUAUCACUGAAGGAGGGGAUUGCGUCUGAUUAGCUAGUUGGAGGGGUAACGGCCCACCAAGGCGAUGAUCAGUAGCCGGUCUGAGAGGAUGAACGGCCACAUUGGGACUGAGACACGGCCCAGACUCCUACGGGAGGCAGCAGUGGGGAAUCUUCCGCAAUGGACGAAAGUCUGACGGAGCAACGCCGCGUGAGUGAUGACGGCCUUCGGGUUGUAAAGCUCUGUUAAUCGGGACGAAAGGCCUUCUUGCGAAUAGUGAGAAGGAUUGACGGUACCGGAAUAGAAAGCCACGGCUAACUACGUG